GUUCCUUCUUCCUCUGUCCUGAGCACAAGGUGCUUAUCACCUACAGUCUGCCCUGUACACAGGACUGACCGCAGUCAGUUCAGCUGAGAAUGCGUAAGGAGACCCCAAGGACAUCUGAUAGGGCAGAGACAAAGCAGUAAUGAAAGAGAGAGUAAUGCUUAUACAGUGCCUGGCCGGAGACCAGGAAGCUGCAGAGAGCUGGAAACCUCUGAGAGAGGAGGGCGGUACUCCUGGGCUCCUGGCGCCCUGCCACACCUUGUCGCAGUGGGACCUUUCUAUCUCUACGGCCUCGGUGGGUCUCACUGAAAUGCACUACAUUGAACACACAUCUGACUGCAAAAAGAAAGGGAGACGUAAGAAAUGCUGCAAGGAGGGACGGAGGGUCUAGCGCAGGGCUACAGCACUGCUGGCAUGCGUGAGGCCCUGGGUUCCAGCCCCAGCACUGCAGAAAGAGAAAAUAAAAACAGCAAUAGCAACAAACGCCACAUGGAAGCCACGCCGCAAGACGGGGACAUGGUGCCGUUCUCUCCAGGUUUAACUUUGCACAAAUGGAAAUGCUGCUCCUAGAAAAGCAACAGCUGCAUCAGGUCCGACUGAGAGCGAUUAGGGACAGAAGAGCGUCUGCCGGGGGUGGGGCUGACUGAGAGAGCUUGGUUUCCAAAUUUAGAAGUAAAUGAAAAACUUUCAGCCUUCAGUAUGUUAAAGUCUGAGGAAAUACACUCACUUCUUUUUAAAAACGGUGCUAAAUACUAAACGUAUUUUUUACUUUAAAGAGAAAAAACAUUUACAAAAUAGCAACAACAAAGAAAAACAAGACAACACAAAAAUAAUAAAAACGAUGCAGCAUUUCAAAACAAGAUGAUAGGAAUUAACAGUGGUUGUUAUAUUACAUAUAGUCAUCCUCAAAGAAGUUGCUCAGUUACCAGAUGUAAGAAUGUUUUGCAUUCUGUCAUAUUUAUUAGCACAUAUUAAUUGUACGUCUUAAGGGGGUUCUGUGUGGUACUUUAUACAUGGAUCUAGCCUGCACUGAUCACCAACCCCCUUAAUCUGCCCCCCUCACACCCUCCCAGCUUCUAGCAAUCAUUAUUUUACUUCCAGGUCAGUUUUGUAGAUUUCCAUGUGAGGAAAAAAUACGAUACCUGCUUUUCCGUGUCUCCUUUAUUUCACUUAAAAUGAUGUCUUCCAGUUCUACCCAUUUCACUGAAGAUUGCAGGAUUCCAUUCUUCUUCAUGGCUGAAUGCACUCCAUCUUGUAUAAGUACCACAGUUUCCUUAUCCACUCGUCUGUGCGUAGCCAUGGCAGAGGUUUUGUGUCUUAGCUGUGGUGAAUAGCGCCACAAUAGACAUGGCUGGGAGGUGGGCCUCUGGUGU
Molecule: long non-coding RNA, 1370 nt
Filed under: Chinchilla lanigera (long-tailed chinchilla)
Lineage: Eukaryota; Metazoa; Chordata; Mammalia; Rodentia; Chinchillidae
Description: lncRNA (ENSCLAG00000027519.1)
Source: RNAcentral